UAUAUAAUUUGUUUCUAUCUUUUAGAGACUUUUAAUGAUGUUUAUAACUUUUACGUUUUACUUGUUUUCACUUAUUUUAAACUUUUUUGUGCAUUUUUUUGGGUAAUCUAAGCUGUUUCUGGGCUCGUGCAUGAUUCCAAUGAGUGCACUUGAACUCGUUAGAGUUAUUGGGCUCAAGCAGGGGCAAAUCUUGGGCCCGAGCCACGUUUUUUAACAUUGAUAAUAACCGAUGAUCUUUAGGAUAUUCUUAAACCAUCUCAUAUAAUUUACAAUGUUAUGGACUUGUGACAUGGGCUUGAAUAUCACAUUAGGAUCUUUGGGGAAUUCAUAAACUAUAUUGUAUAAUUCACAUUGCUAUGACAUGGGCUUUAACAUCACAUGAGAAGUCAUUUUUAGUAUUACUAUUACAUAUAUAUCUCAUGGUUGCAACAACAUAAAACUUCUAAUUGAGCCCGGAUAUGUUUGACUUUUAUUUAAAACUCUCUCAUAUAACUAAAAUGGGUUUCUUCUAAGCAAAGCUUGCUCUAGAACAUUGUUUGACUGCAUGUUGUGCAACUUAAGGUAUUGUCUUUUCAUAGAAAAUACAUGCAAUUUGAGCAAAAUAAUAAUACCAAACAUAGGAUUAUUGACCUUUUAUAGUGAGAUUCACCACAUUUAUCUGGUCCUAUGCAGCCACCAAGUGUGUGGAAUGCCGCCUUCUUUAGCCAAUGAAACUCUCCCUGAAAUGAAAGCUGGGAUGGGUUUUUUUCCUGGUGCUGGAGUUUUGGAUAUGGAAAGGCCAGGUUUUCCUGUUCUCGGAGCCCCAGGCGCUGGAGCAUCAAAGAUUGAUCCAAACCAAAAUCUGUGCCCCCGUCCUCAUCGAUUUUGUUUGACACCCAUACUAAUAGUCAAGCCAAAUCUCCCACCUCUUCCAUGCAAUGUUGAUCUUUUGAUGAUGUCAAAGCAUGCGAUCGGCUUUGAUGGUUCAACCAUUGGCUCUUCAUCACCCCUUUGAGGACCGAUCCAAGGCUUUUGGGCAUUGGAACUACAGCUUCCAGCAAAGUUCGGACGUGCAUCUUCCUUUGAUUAUUUAAUGUUACACCCAUGACUAAAUUCCCUAACAAAUCAAUCGCCCAAGAUGAGGAAAGCUGAUCAAGUCCUAAAAUGAGCCUGAUUCAUUUGUUUAUUUCGCAAGUUCUAUUAUGACAGUUGCAUGAUAAUUUAGGGACCCUAUACAAUUUCUACAAUUUCUCCCAGAGUACGAAACUGUUAAGAACAUACUACCUAGUUGGAUGUGAAGUGAAUUAUUCCUUCUGCACAAAUUCAAGAAAAUCUUUCUCAAACUUUUGAGCAGUCGAUAGAUUUUGGUUGUCCGAUUUCACAUUGGAUUGCUUGGAGUGAGAACUCCACAUCUGACAUGGGUAUUUUUAACCUUGUUCUAGUAAUGUAAGUAGUCUCAUUGAAUAAUGCCCCUAUGUUAUAUGCUCUUCGUCUUCAAGCAUGGUCAAUGAUAGACCCUGGCUUUUUUAUUUUACAUUUGACCUCUAUUGCUUUUGACAUUUUUGUAUCAAAGGUAAAUGGUCUCAUUGCAUAUUUCCCUUAAUUUAAAUGCUCUUGUCAUUCAUCCAUUGGAGAUACAAAUGUCAACACAGGGUUGCCCUAAUUUAAGCAAUUGGUGAGACACACAUCAGCUGAUUCAAUCAGUAAUUUACCACAAAGAUGUCACUUAAAGAGGGGCAAUAUAUUUGAAACAAUUUCAAGCUUUAUCAUUGUAUUUCUCACAAGUAGUACCGUUAUCAAUUGUACAAAUGUACUUGUGUGUAUAGGAU
This is a non-coding RNA of Amborella trichopoda, 1808 nucleotides long. The record is from RefSeq and is a predicted model, not a curated record. NCBI's taxonomy places the organism in Eukaryota, Viridiplantae, Streptophyta, Magnoliopsida, Amborellales, Amborellaceae.